UCUGAUGUGUGUCCAUGCAAGAAGUAGGUCUAAUACUUUGAGAAUUGCAUGAGGGCUUUUGUUGGGACCACGCUGAGGGCAGAGCCUCGCCAAGAAGAUCUUGAGACAAGGAUACUCUUGGCCCACCAUGAACGGAGACACGAUGGACUAUGUCAAGAAGUGUGACAAGUGCCAGCGCUUCGCUAUUAUACCUUGAGCUCCUCCAAAUGAGCUCACCUAGAUGACUAGUCCUUGGCCCUUUGCGGUUUGGGGCAUUGAACUUAUCGGGUCAUUGCCCAUCACUACAACAUUUUUGAGCAUAUAUUACGGUAAAUAAAUGGCAUAUAUUCAAAGUGUUAUUAAUAAAAUAAGUAACUAUACGUCCCAUACCAAAAAAAAACACGGUUUCAUUUAUAAAAAAACACGGAAUAAAGAAAAAGGCUUAGGCGCCAAAAUGAAGCGCCAAACUUAAUAUCACGAAAGUAAUAAAAUGAAAUCAUUUGAAUCUCCAUCCUCAUCUAAUCUUCUAAAUCCCUAAUCCACAACCUAAACUAUUCCCAGCCGCCUCCUCUCCCCAUCCCAUCAGUCUGCCUUCUCCAUUCCUUUGAACCGCUGGAGCAAGAACCCAAAAGCAGCUCCUUCUACCACAAGCGAGUCUUGCCAUCUCCCUCAAGCUGUUGUCUCUCCUGCUGGAGCAAGAACCCAAGCAUCUACCUCACGAGUCGCGCGCUUGCUAUCUCUCCUGCUGGAAGCAAGAACCUAGGCAUCUCCUUCACGAGUCGCGCGCUUGCUAACUCUCCUGCUAGAAGCACGAACCCAGGCCAGAGUAUUCGAAAUUGUGAGGGGCUUCAUUGGAUUUCAAAUUGGAAGGAAACUUUAUUUACAACAGUUUGCAAGAGGACAAUUAAGUUGGUGAUCAUGUUGGAUAAAAAUUGGCUACGCUUCAAUAGAUAAACUGACUAAAAAGGUUCGACAUGGUGUCCCAUCAAAAGUUUUAAGGUACUUUCCUAUAAUCCCUAGGUUCAACUACAAGUGUUAAUGAAGACAUCCUUACAAAAGUCCUUGGUCCUAAAAAAAAUACAUACAUGAGAGCUUUUGGAAGAGGAGUUACUCGGUCAAAGUUGCAAAUUGUGUCAGAAAGAGAUGACCAUCUCAUGAUGAUAGAAGGUCAAUGCAAAGAUUUGAAAGAUAAAAUGCAACACAUGGAGCAACUCAUUGUUUCUUUAAUGAAAAUCAAAAUACAUCUACUCAGAGUGAGGAGCAAUCAAAUGUCAAUGUUCAAUCAAAUUCUCAUGUUCAUUCCACUCAGAGUGUCAAGAACCACACAUUUGGCUCCAAAUGCAAAAUAUUAGAUUGGAUUGGAUCUGGAGAAAUUAUUGCAGAAGGCUUUUUUAUUUCAAGUGACCAAAGGAUGAGGUUCACCAUGUUCCUCUUGGGCCUAGUGCUAUGAAAGUGGGGAUAGAUCUUGUGAGAAAGAAUGAUGCAUUUCUGUGGAGGCCUUCAACAAUUAUGUCUACUAUAGAAGAUGCUAUAGGUAGUAUAAUUGCAUGACCAGCUGAUAAAGUCAUAAUUAGCUAAGCAAAUGGACUCACAACAAAGACAAGUGCACAAAGGAUGAUGAAUUGAAGGAUGGAGCAAGUUUCAUGCAUGGUUUACUUUUGUGUAUCUUGUAAUGUUUCUGUUUUUCAUUUUUGAAGUAAAAAAUGUUCAAGAUUAUAAAACUUUAUUAUGUUAUGCUUUCAAACUUAAGUUAGAAGUAAGAUCUCAUGAAGUAGACACAUUCAUGGUUUGAAUUAGUUAUUGUUUAAUGUAAUACUUAUGGUUUAUC
This is a long non-coding RNA of Humulus lupulus (European hop), 1807 nucleotides long. RefSeq lists it as uncharacterized. Lineage: Eukaryota; Viridiplantae; Streptophyta; Magnoliopsida; Rosales; Cannabaceae. The record is from RefSeq and is a predicted model, not a curated record. The transcript is spliced from 7 exons.